Long non-coding RNA from Carassius gibelio (silver crucian carp), 650 nucleotides. RefSeq lists it as uncharacterized. The transcript is spliced from 4 exons. Lineage: Eukaryota; Metazoa; Chordata; Actinopteri; Cypriniformes; Cyprinidae. The record is from RefSeq and is a predicted model, not a curated record.
CAGGCAUUGUACAAAAUGCCAACUCCACCUGAGCUCCCCAGAGCCCGAGGUGCCUAGGAAGUUUACUUUGGAGGCUGCUGAUAUUGCUGUGGUUGUGGUCUAUUUUGUGUUUGUGUUGGCAGUCGAAUACGGUCCUCAGUCAGAGCCAACCGUGGGACAAUGGGUGGAUACUUCUUGGCUGGCCAAUCCCUGACCUGGUGGCCAGGUGUUCCUUUUAUAUAGUGGCCCUGAGUUUUGUUUGGAUUCCAGUGAUUCCAACAGCUAAUAGUGGACAGCUCUUUGACUACAUUCACUCAAUCACUAGCUUCCUGGCACCUCCCAUCACCACAGUGUGCAUUAUUGCAAUCUUCUUGGGAGUGCUUUUUGGAGUUUGAUGGUGGGACUAGGUGGGCACUGUGAGGAUGGUAAUGGAAUUUGUGUACAGCACCCCAUCAUGCGGAGAAAAAGACAUGUGUCCUGCCCUGCUGAAAGAUGUGCACUACCUGUAUUUUGCUCUCAUCCUGCUUGCACUGACAGCUCUGAUCCUCACAGCUGUCACCCUCUGCACUGCACCUAUUCCAGAGCAACAUUUAAAUAUGGACCGCAAUCCACAUACAUACAUAUUUAAAUAAUUCUUUAUCAAUUUGUAUACAAAACUUACAAAAAGAAGA